CUUGUCUCAAACUUCUGGGCUUAAGCCUCCCGAGUAGCUGGUAUUACCGGUGUGCACCACCAUGCCCAGUGUUGCCUGUUUCUUGACUAUCAGAUAGUUUCCCUUGCAAAGUUAUCAAAGUGCUCCCCAGAAGACAUUAGGUAUUUGCUUUCUAGUCUACAUACAAUGAAAAGGAAAAAACGUCAGUUCCUGAAGCUCUCUCAAAACAUCAACAGAUGGAAAGACGUGCCCAUGUCCUCCCCUCCCUCCACUCUGGGGGCUUGGAAAUGCUGCAGCAGGGAGCAGGCCCCAGGCUGGACCUGCCCUGUCCUCACAAUGAGUGUGUGCAAAAGUGAACAAUAAAUCAUUUCAAAGAUGCAAGGAAGAAAAACCAAAACAUCAACAGAAUCUUCUUUCCCAUAAUCUUCAUGCACCUCCUGGUCCGGAUGAGUUUAUGUUCCCAUCUCUGAGCACAGGGAUUGAUUGUGAUGGCAUUUAUAGGACUGAGCGCCCCACACUCUGUGAUCCAGCAUGGAGUUAUGAUUUACAUCACCACAGGAAGAGUACAGAGGCUUCAACAGAAAAAAAGAACCAAUAACAACAGUGACGAAAUCACAAAAGAAAAGGUCCACAACAAAAGCACUGAUAUGGAGCACAGAAGAUCUAGAAUCAUACAAAGACUCUAAGCCUGACUCACACGUUGACUGUUGCGACGUUAGUGCAAAACUUACAAUGAUAUGUAUAUACAAAACUUACAGUGAUAUGUAUAUACAUUUAUAAUUAUAUGUAUACAUAAUCCAUUUUACCUGGUUUUGGGUCUCAUAAGAAUAACAAUUUAUAUUUCAGGAGCCCCACAAUGAAUUAAUGUAUAGACAGAUGUAUUGAUUCAUUUGUUUCUAUUUUAUUGUUAAAGAUUUAAUUUUAUCACAAAUGAACAUACAAUUUUUACCCUCUUAAACAUUUUUAAGUAUACAGUUCAGUAUUUAGUAUAUUCAUAUUGUUGUAAAUCCAAUUUCCACAACUCUUUCAUCUUGCAAAAAUGAAACUGUGUACCCAUUAAACAACUCCCAAUUUCCCCUGCCCCACCCCCUAGUAACCCUCUAGUAUCAUACAUUCCACUUUCUGUUUCUAGGAGUUUGCCCAUGCAAGAUACUACAUAUAAAUAACGUUAUACAGUAUCUGCCUUUUGUAAAUGGCUACAUUUCACAAUGUAGUCAAGGUUCAUCCAUGUUGUAGCACGCAUCAAAAUUCCUUCCAUUUUGAGGAUGAAUAACAUUUCAUUGUAUGCCAAGACAUAUAUCACAUUUUGCUUAUACAGUCAUUCAUUGAUGGACACCUAGGUUGCUUCUACUUUUUGGCUAUUGUGAACAAUGCUGCUUUGAACGUGUGUAUAAAACUAUCUCUUUUAGACCCUAUUUUCAGUUUUACUCGGUAUGUGUCCAGGAGUGGAAUUGCUGGAUUAUACAGUAAUUCUGCUUUUAAGGUUUGAGGAACUGACAUACUGUUUUGCAUAGCAUCUGCACCACUUUAAAUCUCUUCCAACAGUGUACAGGGGUUUCAGUUUCUCCACCUCCUUGACAACAUUUGUUAUUUUCUUUUUUAAAAUAUAGUGGCCCUGGUUAUUAUUCACUAGAUUAUCUUCUUCAGUGUUUGAG
This 1634-nucleotide long non-coding RNA is filed under the name Gorilla gorilla gorilla (western lowland gorilla). RNAcentral describes it as "lncRNA (ENSGGOG00000044336.1)". The record is from RNAcentral. Lineage: Eukaryota; Metazoa; Chordata; Mammalia; Primates; Hominidae.